AGCUAGCUAGAUACUUAUUUAUGAUGCAUUACCUUAAAAAAAAUUACAUGCUGAUUGGUCACUGAGAUCCUGAAUAUGCUAAAAGAGGAAUGUCUGUGGGAAACCCUGGAAUUUCUGGGUUUCCUGUGACUAAACACUGCUCAGAUUAUUGAAGAGUGGGGACCUAUAAGGGACAAUGUUCCUAUUAUUAAACCCCCUUCAAAAACAGCUGAUUUCUUGAAUAAAUAAGGGCAAAACUUUCUGACAACUGAGGAAAGAGUUGUAGCAGCAUCUGCUGUGGCAUGGUUGCUGCUACCUACCGCUAUUAACACAUGCCAUUCCUCAGAGAAGGAAUUAAAAGACGAAAAUGAGCUUUUAAAAGCUCGUAGUAGACAACUGGAAAAUAAGAUUACAUAUUUGACAAGAUAAACUGCCCUACCUUCAAAUGGAACUUCCAUUUUAAAAUUAAGACCCAUAUCACUAUCACUAGAGGGGGAAAAAGACCUGAAUCAGCAGGAUCCUUGGAUCCUAGUUGAAUCCAUGAAGAAAAAGAAGGCCAAGCAGACUAAAAUCCGAACAGAGGAUCUUGGAACAUCAGAUUUUCUAUAAAUAAGGCCAGUAAUGACUCAUAGACAAAGGAAAUCUGGGGUAGGCUAGCAGGUUUGUCACACAAAGAGUAGUCCCCCUGCCCACAACAGUCUAAAUAUAAUAGCAUGACCGUACACAGCUGCUGAACUUAUGGACUUGUUACAGUGGUUUAAACGAGGAAGCCAAGAAGCUGUAUCAGCCUGGCUUUUUUGGAUUAUGGGCUAUAGGGGCUGAAAGUGUGGUAAUUAAUGGGCAUGAGAUUUCCAAACUGCCUUCCAUUACCACACAUCUGGCCCUGAAACAGACUGUGUGUGAAGAUAAUACAUAAUGAAGAAAACCAUUCUUUAAUUCAGUGGAUAAUGGCAGUAUGUAGAAUUACAUGGCCAAACAAAAGUAGCGUACUGAUUAAAUACCAGUUUAUGGACCUCAAUGGAAGAACUUCAAAAUUAUAUUAAAGUAUUAGGAAUGAAGGAGGCAAUAUACGAUGAUGCCUUUGAGAGUCUAGAUUUGGUUAAAUUUUUGGUGGGAAUGAGGGACCUCAUAAUACAAUAAGCUCCUCCCCACCAGUAUGGCCCACUGGUGUCUAUACUGGGCUCCUUAGUGGCCUCAGAGGCCAUCAUCCAACAGGCUGCCUAAUUGGUGGCUGGCACUGGAAGGGGCCAAGGUCCUCCCUGUAACUAAAACCAGGAGACCAGCCCCACAGACUCCUCUAUCGGGACCUAUAUAGGUAUCCCAAAAACAAGUGUUCAAUGACUUAAUCUGGGCUGUGGUUCAAUUUGCUAAAAUUGGUUGCAAGCCCAGUCCCCCUCCAGCUGUGGAGACAACUGAAGAACAAGAAAAAGAUUCAAAAUAUCCCCAAAAAAGCAGGGGUGGGAAUUAUUAUAGAAAUACCAACAAGAACCUGAAAGAUUUCCUAGUUCCCAGUAAAAGAAAAAACCCUCCUCAAGCAGCCUGGGCGACUAUGCCCAAGCCACCUGAGGCAUUAAUAACACAAACAUCUGAGGUCAUAGUUAAGGCCACCCUGCCAAUACAGGGGUAGGUGAAAGAUUUGACUCGCCUUCCUAAGACAGGAGUGGCCCAAGCACAAACAGUGGAACAGUGGGUCAUUUAUCUCAGCCAGAGAAAUUGUCUGUCUUUGUCACAGUUGAAAGAACUCCAGAAGAUCCUAGGCUCAGUAAUGUAUCACAGUGAUGUGCCAAAAGACAUGAUGGUCUCUCCUCCAGAGAAGAGUCUCAUUCAGGAAGGGAAAUAUCCCAUUCCUGAAGGUGCUUGGUAUGCAGAUGGGUCCAGCAAGGGCAAACCAAGCAAGUGGAGAGCAGUAGCAUACCAUCCCUCCACUGAAACAUUCUGGCUUGAAGAGGGGGAUGGUCAGAGUAGCCAAUGGGCAGAACUGUGAGCUGUGUGGAUGGUUAUAACCAAGGAACCUGGUGAUGAUAUCCUGACUUUCUGCACAGAUAGUUGGGCUGUGUACUGGGGGCUCGCUUUUUGGAUUGCACAGUGGGCCACCCAGGAAUGGAUGAUUUGCUAUUGACCAAUCUGGGCCAGAAAAAUGUGAUUUAACACAGGACUGUACAUGUCUACCAUGUUUCUGGCCACCAACAUUUACAGUCACCAGGAAAUGAUGAAGCCAACACACUGGCUGAAGUUCAAUGUACUGAGGGUUCAACAUCUGAGAAUAUUGCCCACUGGUUACAUCAGAAGCUGUGGUAUGCAGGACAAAAGACAACGUGGGCAGUUGCUAAAGCAUGGGGGCUGCUCAUACAACUGUCUGAUGUGCUGCGCUGAUCCCUUGUCAGAGUGAAGUGUGCUCAUUCUAGGUUACAGCAGAAAAAUGCAUGCGGAUUGCCAGUGAGAGAAGAGUAAUUUAGUACGCUGGUGAAGGAAUAAAAGCAACACUGAUCUCAGAGGUGUGAACCAUGCUCACAGGAUGGUGGUUGUGCAGCAGGUCAAUGUAUUUUUGAAACCUCCUGCAGAAUAAUGUUGCAGGGAUAAAUUUCUUGCUUCAGUGAUGAAGAUAGAUUAGAAUGACUGUUCUUGGCCUAUUUUAUUAAAUGGUUUUCCUACGGUUUGCAUCAUCAACUGUUCUGCUAGAAGAAAAUUUGUGGCAUUUCCUUUCAGCAUCAUGUGUUCUACAGAACAGGAGUUCUGACUACCUCCAUUAUGAUGUUCUUUCCUCAUUGCCUGCAUCUUAUCAGCCCCUGGGCUGCAGGCAGAAAAAAGUAGACCCCCUGGGCUGAUCUGAAUGCUGUCAUUCAUGAUAAAGCUGACACAAUAUCUAGGGCCUAAAGGCACAACUGCACAUGUCCACACAGGCUCCAGGCUCCUAAAUCUACUUCUACAGACAGGCAGGCCGGCACCAGCUCUGGUGCUUAAAGCCAGAAAAGAUUGCAACUUCAAUGGGACAUAAAUCCGCAGCCGGAGAGUCCGGCACAAAUCCUGUGGCCAGAAAACACAGGCAGAGAGAAUGGCACCGGCGCCGGAGCGUGAUACCAGAGCCACAGACACAGAGGCAAGAUGCAGCAUUGGACUUAGAGCCAGUCAAAGGCAGGCAAAACGGCACACACCCUAGGCCUGAAGCCACAGACACUACCUGAGAGGCAAGCAUGGUUCCCUGCAUUUGGGAACAGAAGCAAGCAGGAUGCUAGAGAUCCAUCUGCACCUUCCAGAGCAGAGGGACACAACAGGGACGGAUCGUCUUUACCGCCAUGCAAAAGAAUGAAGCCUGUGUGUCCAUGUAGUGCUGCUGGGCAUGGGUGUAACCAGAAAGCCUCAUCUGCGAGGGAGGCACAAAUGAAGCAGGGAAUAGAGAAGACUGGAUUUGGCAGCACUAAGACUUUUCUUGCUGGCAACGUACAGCGAAGCCGUCGAUAGGAAAGGCGGAGUCCGAAAGCCCUUCUGCCAAGGGUCAGCUGCUGCCGGCCCGUCCAUUCCCAUGCACAACUUCCAAAACCUGCAUUAUGCAGCACAAUUCCUGAUUACCUUGAGCAGCUGUGAGAUCGCAACACCAGCUUGUUGCCUGUGACAUCAUUCUGGAGCACACAUCCCACGCCGAGAUACCUGAGGAACAAACAGAGGGACAACAUCAUUGAAUUCCUUCCUGGUUAUUACUUGCAACAUCUAUUUCCUUGCACUGUUCUUCAGUGCUAGUUACUUGAUUCUUGGAGAGGAGGGGAGGAGUAACAUAGUCCAGAAGACAUCACGCCCAGAGGAAGAAAGAUGGUGCUCCUGGCAGGUCGUGAAUGUCUCUCUCUUACUUAGUGACAUAGAAGAAGAUGUUUCCCCUGCAGUCAAAAGAGCACAACAGCUAACAGAUCUAGAGCAGAAACUAGCAGUUGCAAAAGGCAAAUAAGAAAAGGCAGCCCUUGAUAAAGAGUCACAGCUGAAAGCUCUGAAGGAGACUGUGAAGCUUUGCCUGUCUUUUGUUCUGCACAAUCAGCCACCCACUAACCAUCAAGUCCCUACAAAACCAGCAGAGAAGCUGACAUCUACAGCUACAAGGUGCUCAAAAGUUCAAUUUCCAGUGGCAAGCACCAAGCAAAAUGUCUCAUCAGAGAAAGAGAGUCUUCAUGUGACCUCAAGAAAGGAAGAAAAUCAGAGCAUCCAGGAGCGUGAUUCUCAAGAUGCUCGCAAGACGUGCUUGGGGAAUCGCAAUAAUUCAGCAUCUCAGUUGAAGACUGCAGAAACAGAGACAAACUUUCAGAAAUUUCAUCAAGUAACUGUCUGUUCCUUCCUGACAUUAAACUCAUUCCACCCUGACGUUUUGCUUGUGUUUCCCUACUCAGGAGUGGAUGCUGCAGAAUGCUGGGGUGUCAGCUUCAAGGAUGAUAUUCAUAUUAAAGGCUGCUGUGGUAGGUACUGAUACGAUCCAGGAUCACAUCCCAUUGACAGAAGACAUGUUCUGCACGUGCAUUGAGUCGCAUCCCUCCGGUCACUGACCACUGACAGUUGAUUUGGCACAGAGCUUGCUGGAUGAGCAUCUGGCAUCCUGGCUGAAGGACAUGUCUGAAACUAUUAGUGAUGAACCCCAUCAUUGGCUCGGGCACCACAGCAAGCAUACUUCAGGGCAGAUACCAUGAUGUCACUCAUUGUGGGAGUAGCAUUCAACCAGUAGGACAUGAGGACAAUCAUGAGGACAAGCCUCCAGGUGAACAGCAAGAUCUUGUUGCCCUUUCUUAUGCUAGAGAAGGGAGGCCAGUGUCAGGGUCCGGCCUUCAUCUAAAAGGUAACUUAUGGUCAACAAAUUUACUUGAAGUUGAAGAACACAGGGUAGCGCUGAGAUGAAAAUCAAGGAAAAUAGGCAAGUUUUUAAAUCAAAAGGACUAGACAUGGAAAUUUGAUGUAUAGUGGAGAAUCAGUUAGAAAAUUGGUUGCAAACUGCUUGGCAUGAGGGACAAAUUGAUGCUCAUAUAUUUUUUUAUCAGACUUCUUCUUUACAAAAUAUGGUAUCUGACCACUGUUACGGAUUGUAGAAAUUCCCUGCCCUCCUCUUAACCUACCGAACACUUCCCCACUGGAGGGUAGCCUUUCAAAUACCAAUGGGGGAAGUCCUAAAGCUUCAGCAAGAAUAUAUGUGAUGAGAAAAGGACAACUUUAUACCUUACAUUUGUUAUUUUUUAUUAUCUAUCUCCCUACUGGCAAAAAUGUUUACUCAUUUUAGUGUGUCUACUAAAUAAUUGGCAGAAAAGCACUUCCAUUAUUGCUAAUGUCUAUUGUCCAUUUUUUCCUCUGUGAUAUGUCCUGACUUCAAUGUCAGUGAUCUCAAAGAUGAAAUCAUGGAAAAAUGAGUCUGCAGCACAUGCAGUUUGCAGUGUGUGCUGUCACUGCUAUCAGGGGCUUCUCAGAAGAAAAGUAAGGGCUAUGGGGUUUGCUCACUCUAGAAAACUGGAGCAGUGGUCUAUUCAUAUGCUCUAAUCAGAGCACACAGAGAUUCAACCAUUAAGCUCCUAUCAAAGUUAAUUAAAGUUUUCAAGUCAAAGGUUUGAAAUGCAGACAUGGUACAGAGAGCUAUAUUUCCUCUGAGAAUUGUAUUCAAGUUCAUCAUCACAGCUCUAUUCAGUUUCCUGUUAAUUCAUGUCUUUUUCCAGGUGGUUUUAGCCAUCAGAACAAGACCUAAAGGGCUCAGGAAGUGCACGUUGUGAGCUGGGCCCGAAUCCUAUGCUGAAGCCCCCCACAUUAACCUGGAGCUGUCAGCUAGAUCUACACAAUCAAACAAAAGUGUAAGGCUGAGCUGUUGGGCAAUUCCAAGAGAUAUAGCAAUGAAGAGAGUACUGGAAGAAGGACAAAAAUAUGCACUGUGAUCUGAGAGUUUUGCAUAUUCUUUUGAAAACAAAGAGCUUUCCCUUUCAUUUUUCCCCCUUUAUUUAUAGAGUGAAUAUUCUUAAAAUUCGUCUUUAAUAGAUCUAUUGCACCAGUUCGGUCUCUCUAAUAUGCAGUAGAAGAUUCAGCAUUUGAAAUAUCACAGAAAGAUAUUAGCUAACUGAGCACUAACAAUGUCACACGGAUGUCUGCUUAUCAUGCAAAUAGUUUAUUUAGAUGCAAAGACUAAUUAGACUCUAAUGAUUAAGAUAUGAAAAAUGGGAGUUCCUUUGUAUUGUUUCAGAGCACAUGACCAGAAUUUCAGUGCCUUUUCUCAAGUAGUUCAGAAAACAAUACUGAAGUUAGCAACAGAAAUGAGGGCCACGAACAGUGUAUACAAAGGAGGCUUGAUUUCUCAUACAGUGGUAGAGAAUGGGCUGCAGAACAGAUGCUUUUAAAUCAGCAGAGCAUUGUGCAAACAGCUGUUAACCAGACACAGCAUCUAAUUUCACCAACAGUACUCUUGAUUUUGCUGCUACCAUGCAGUUUCAGCAUGACAUUCAGAAAGAGCUCUCAGCUGGUUUAUGUAGUAAUUUGUAAGCCCUGCUUUGCAGCAGCGUAACUGACAGAUACUACCUUUGAGUUCCAGGAAAUAAUACAGCUUAUAACCUUUUGUGAAAUGUGAGUGAGUUCUCACUGAACCUUAAACCUAAACUGCUUCCUGACCUUUUCAUGAUCCCACACCUAUUAUUUUUCUCUCUAAAUGAUGCUCUACAUUUGUACAUCAAUUCUGUUUAUUACUGUUCCUGAAGAUGACUUAAUCAUCCUAAUAUGUAGUGUAAGGGUCUUGCUUUUGUAAGAAACCACUGAUAGCGUGCAGAAAGCAGAGCCUCCAUUCAGGGAUGGGUCAGAUGGCCAAGCGUUGGAUCAGCACAAAGUCCACAAUGGAGCACUGUGCACUAAACAGACCACAAGUAUUUCAGGUCAUGGAAAACACAUCAUUUAUUCAUACUAUAGCAAGUUAUUUCUUAAGACAGCAGAUGAAAGCAGGAGUCUUUUCCAUGACAAAAGCGGGCUUUUGAAUGGUCCAAGCACCUGCAAAUACACACACACACACAAAGCAAUUUAGAAAAGGCUUCCCAAUAUUUCUUGGUGGUUUUGCAUUGAAGUGAACAACUCUAGACAUCAAACUGAAGCGUGUUGUUCACCACAUUGGAUAUAAGCGCCCAAACUUGUUUUCUCUUCCUCCUCCAUCAUUACUUGGUAAAGCUUGACAGAUGCUACUGCUUACUGGGGGGGUGGAUGGAUGUAACACUGAGAAGGAAACUUAAUUUACAGGAGAGCUCAGCAGCUCUCUGAGUCUUGACAUGCUUAAGUUAUGUCAAGGUCUCUGAAGUAAUUUGUUGCCCACAUGUGAUUUUAACCUGCUCCCUAACAAAUUAAUCCAAGCUACCACUGAAAACCUGAGUGUAUGAUCUGAUCUUUGUAUUACACCGCUAUCAUAAGCACAAGGAUAACAGAUGGGGCAAUCCAUCCUCUGUGUAAAUGGGCAGUUGUCAUCUGAACUGCAGAAAGGUACUUCUCAUAAAAGGGUUUGUGAUCAGUGCUGAUUUUUCUGCUUUUCAGAUUUGUUUUGCAGCAUCCUGGGCUGUUGCUAACAUAUUAAGGUUUAUGUAUCACUACUGUGCAUUUCUUCCUUCAGAGUGGAAACUACAAGCAUGAAUAUGAAGAGAAAAAAAGAUAACAGAAUUGUGCUUCAUAGCCAGAUUGCUUUUACGAGUCCCCAUUGUUUAUCCUACAUCAUACACCUAACAUCAAUUACAUUAAUCAUAGUGGAGAAUGGUUGGACUAGGUGAUCCUGUGAGUCUUUUCCAACCUUGGUGAUUCUAUGAUUCUAUGAAUGUGAAUCUAUCAGUGAGGAAGUCUAUAAACAUGACAAAAAAGCGCCACACUCUACUCACCAUCACUUAAUCUCUUUUUUUCUUUCUUAAAUCUCUCAUAGGUGACAGUGGUGAUUAAAAAAAUUAUGAGGCAACAUAUUGUCCAAACAUUGUUGUUUCUAUAACAACAUAAGUUAGAAACAUAAGUUGUUUCUAUAGCACAUUUAUACAUUUAUGAAGACAAUAUUUUCAUUAAAAAGAUGACCAAUUAUUAAAGAAAGAAAGUUAUUAGGGUGGUGUUGUAGUAAGCGUCUUGCGGGGGCACGGGAUGUACGGGACAGGCCUCUCCCUAAGCAUAGAGAGACAGUGCUAUUGUGCUGACCUUGAUGCAGAGAAAACAGGAGAAGAAGAAGAAUAAGAAAAGAA
Gallus gallus (chicken) is the source of this 8168-nucleotide long non-coding RNA. RefSeq lists it as uncharacterized. The transcript has 16 exons. The record is from RefSeq and is a predicted model, not a curated record. Lineage: Eukaryota; Metazoa; Chordata; Aves; Galliformes; Phasianidae.